UAAAUAUAACGUGAAAUUGGUUUCGGUUAGUCGCCGAAUUAAAAGGGAAACAGGUGAAAAUCCUGUACGGUCCCGCCGCUGUGAUGGGGAGAUACUGAAAAAAUGCCACUGGGUAACUGGGAAGGCUUCAGUAUCGUAGAACCUGAGUCAGAAGACCUGCCAAUUUCUUUGCACGUAU
This 178-nucleotide non-coding RNA is filed under the name Acetivibrio clariflavus. RNAcentral also lists the same sequence under 1 other name. Lineage: Bacteria; Bacillati; Bacillota; Clostridia; Acetivibrionales; Acetivibrionaceae. The record is from RNAcentral.